RNAcentral lists this ribosomal RNA (347 nucleotides) under fungal sp. CRS5662T18-3. Its description in RNAcentral is "SSU rRNA". It matches the Rfam family "Eukaryotic small subunit ribosomal RNA", at positions 20 to 371 of the family's 1831-position model. Lineage: Eukaryota; Fungi. The record is from RNAcentral.
GUAGUCAUAUGCUUGUCUCAAAGAUUAAGCCACGCAUGUCUAAGUAUAAGCAAUUAUACCGCGAAACUGCGAAUGGCUCAUUAAAUCAGUUAUCGUUUAUUUGAUAGUAUCUUACUACAUGGAUAACCGUGGUAAUUCUAGAGCUAAUACAUGCUAAAAAUCCCGACUUCGGAAGGGAUGUAUUUAUUAGAUUAAAAACCAAUGCCCCUCGGGGCUCUCUGGUGAUUCAUAAUAACCUCUCGAAUCGCACGGCCUUGCGCCGGCGAUGGUUCAUUCAAAUUUCUGCCCUAUCAACUUUCGACGGCUGGGUCUUGGCCAGCCGUGGUGACAACGGGUAACGGGGAAUA